UAAAUAAACAUGUCAGCAUUAAACAAAUAUAUUUAUUAAUAUUGUUGUUAGUGGUGGUGUUUAAAUAAUAAACAAACAAACAAAUAUUAAGUAAAUAAACAUGUCAACAUUAAACCGAUAUAUUUAUUGUUGUUGGUGGUGGUGUUUAAAUAAUAAACAAACAGAAAUAUUAACUAAAUGAACAUUUCAAUAAUAAACAUGAAUAUAUUUAUGGUUAUUAUUUAAAUGUUAAUUUAGUUACAAUUUGUUUGUUUGUUUAUUAUUUAAAAACCACCACCAAUAAUAAUAAUAAUUUAUAUAUUUAUUAUUGUUGUUGUUGGUGGUGUUUAAAUAAACAAACAAACAAAUAUUAAUUAAUUAAAAUAAAUUGAUUUAUUGAAAUAAAAUAAAUUUAUUUAUGGUUAUUAUUUAAAUGUUAAUUUAGUUAAAAUUUGUUUGUUUGUUUAUUAUUUAAACACCACCACCAAUAAUAAUAAACAAAUAUAUUUAUUGUUGUUGUUGUUGUUGGUGUUUAAAUAAACUAAAUAAACAUAUAUAUGAGAGUUAUCGGAGAACCUCAAGGCUGAGUUCUAAGCCCACAAAACUUUGUUGUUCUAGUUGCUAUAUAAAUUUAACAAGAAACACUAUGAACUGAAAACAAAAUACAAACGACUAAACAUUUUUCCCAAUAUGUAAUGAAACACACCCGUUCUCGCACCUGUAUUCAAAAUAAAGAAACCAAAUGAUAUAAUCCUGUUCCUAAUCCCUCUGUAUGAUAUAAUCACGUACUGUCGGAUGAUGUAACACAACGGGAUCAAUGUGCAGCCAAUCAGGUGGAGAACAGCGUUGCUCAUUGCUUUGGCAGGCGAAGGGAAACGAUCGAUACAGUAACUGUGAUGUGCGAUCUUUCCACGUCCUCGAGCACGUCAGCGGGGCGAAGAAAACACUCGAUCCGUGUCUGAAAUCUAUGAGUGGUAAUUAGGUUGAAAGCUGGUGGCAGGACGAUUUUAAUUAAACACCAGACAAAGGAAACGGAGGAAAAAUCAAUGUGUGUGUGUGUGUGUGUGCUGGGGAUUACCGAGGUCUGAUGUUAGUGUAAAUGUUGAUAUGUAUAUCAGAUAAGAAGUGAUUGAGAUGUUCCUUUCUUUCCGUUUCGUGCGAUCCGAGCAGGUGAAAAACCCGAGGAACGUGUGAGGAAUUAGUGGUGAAGUGAGAAGGCAGAUCUCACGCUUUGUCCGAAUGAGAUUUACAGCACGGUUUAUAAAUAAUUCGGCAGCACAUUAACCACGUUCAUGCUCAAAAAGAUACACAAAAAGGAGCUCUCAAAAAAAAAAAACAAAAAAAACGUCACUCUAGGGUGGAAUCCUUAAUGUCAGCUAACUACGUGUACCUUAAAAAAAAAGCGAUCGAUAAUACACAACUACACGCUUUAUUACGCACCGGAAAUUGCAGACGGGGGUUCGGUUCCUCUGUUAUGUAAAAAAAACUCAAACAAACCCGAACUCCCGAUCAUGGAUUCAGUGACUGUAAACACUUAGCCUCAUUUGUGUUGAAGUGUGUGAAAGAAUCAUAAAUGUAGAUGCAUGCAUGGUUACAUUUUUUUUUUUUUUUUUUUAAAUUCUCUAAAACGCUCACUCGUACGUUUUUGUUCGUUCGUUUUAUCAGCUACUCGGUAAUUACUCAGCACUCAGCGUUUCAAUGAAAUACGCUGAUCUCCUGAGAUUCGCACGAAUGAAAGGUGGAUAUACGUUUCCUACACCCUGUCUUAGACACUGAAUCAUGUACAGUAUAUAACAGUCACUAAACUUCACGUCUGAAGUCGCGAGUUCGUUUAGAAAAUUAGCUUAGCAUCCGCCUGCUCUAAAGAAGUCACUUACCGCACCUUUAAUGACUACGUUAUACGUUAACUACUUGAUCCAAGGUCAGUCAUUAUUAUUCAUUUCCCAGGAUGUUUUAACUCUAAAUCCAGACGUUUGUGUGUGUGUGUGUGUGUAUGUGGGUGUGUGUGUGUGUGUGUGGGAGGGUGAUAGAGAACACUUAUGGUCUAUUAGUCCCCACUUUAAUGGUACCUGCUGCACGGUGUGGAAUGUCUUUCAUUUCAGAGACGGAGAUGCAAUAGACGUCAAGCUGUGACAGGGAGAUAUGAAGAGAGCAGCGGGAGACGGAGAGAGAGAGAGAGAGAAAGAGAGAGAGACACACGAGGGAGGGUGAGUUGUCACAUGGGCUGGCAAAAAAGAUCAGUUCUUGGCAUGCAGCAAGGUGGGAACUACCCAUAAUGCAUUCUGUUCUCUCUCUACACACACAUUUAUACAUUUCUUGACAUUUCCUCACCAACAUUGCAUUUCCCUUUAAAUCUGUAAGAAUUCCAGGCAAUUAUGGCGCUAAACAAUGGGCACGGAGCCUUUGAAAAGCACAUCUGUUACCAUAGAUACAGGCAUGCGCUGGCACUGAGCCUGGGGUUCCAACCGAGCGACAGUGAGCGCUCGGCGGUUUCACUCGGAGAUUCGGCCUUCUUUCGUCCUUCCUUCUUUCUUUUCUGCCCUUUCUUUACCUGCUUGUGUAUUUUCCAGAACACUUUUUAUUUCCAUGAAGGCCACAUAUAGAAUGAACUAUGAACAACUAGUCACAAGACGUUAUGCGCUUGUCCGCUGUUAAGGAAAUGUAUCAUACGUUCAUAUAAAUAUAUAUCGUAUAAUCAUAUAAAUAUAUCAGGUAGAAGGUUAAGAAAAAUGUUCUCGGUGCCAUAAAAGGGACAGCGACAGAAUUUUAAAAAAACAAAAACACAACAACGCUCAGAUUUGAUGACGAGAGCAAUGAAAGAAAGAAAUGCCAAAAAUAGCAGUGUAAAUGCUGCAGUGACACAUCUGUGUUUGUGUGUAGUCGAGGGGUUUUAGAGAAUAAUCCAGGACUUCAACCACACCGUCACACUUUCUGACAAUUGCAGAUGCCGAGGCUCUCGAGUCGAGGCGAAAUCCUUCACUGCUAUUGAUUUUUCUCUGAAGCAGAUGAGAAAGACAAAGAAGCUCAUAGGCUACCAAACUACAGGUAAUCGAGUUUAGCAUUAGCAUUUUAACUGCACAGAAAAUAAUAAUAAUAAAUCGACUGCAUUCUGCCUACCUUUGCAUAAGCAUAUUUACUAAGAAUUGUUUCUCUGGUCUGUUUGAUAGAUGCUUGACAUUUACCCAAUAAAGAACAACACAGGACCAAGAAAUUCCAGUCGUCCAGCAUGGCCUCAAGUUCCUUAGUUCCAAUUCUAAUCUAAUAUGCUUUACUGUGUAUAUCAAGGCCUUGAGCAGCAUCUUGACAUUCUCACCAGGUACACCAGGCAGUAGAUCUUCAGCAACAGCACUGGAAAUCCCUGCUCUGUACCAGGGUUACCGAAUUUUUGCUCCAGGAGAUCUACCUUGCCCAAAGAUACUGUACAGAUCUACCCUGGUUGUUCUUGAGAAUAACUCCCGAGGUCAGUCAAGUGCUGGCCAGUCAGUUGGGUUAGUUCAGGGGUUGAAGCUAAGGUAAGCUAAAUUUUCCAGGAGAAAGACUGAUAUUCCUUGAAAUCUGGAGCCUUUUUGCCAAUUUUAAGCCUUAUCCAUGCUUUGGAAAUCAAAAUCAAAUAUCAAAGCGUUACCAGAUUUGUUUCUCCAGGAGAGCUACACUGCGCCAGAUAUAAGCUUCUGUGCUAUCUAACCCGGUUGAUCUUUUUGAUCAAAAUCUCCCAAGGUCAGUCAAGUGCUGGUCAGUCACAUAUGGUAGUUCAGGGCGUUGAAUCUAAGGUAGGAAGGCAAUAUCGAGAUUUCCAGGAGGAUGGAUGAUCAAUAAAGUGUCAAACCUUUUCGCUAAUGUCAAGACUCAUAUUUGCUCCAUAAAUAUUCAAUUUUAUCAAAAGGCUACUGUUUUUUCUCUCUCUCCAGGAGACCUACCUUUCUUCAAAGUUAACCUUACGUGCAAAUCUAACCUGGUUAAUUUUCUUGAUCGUUAACUCCCAAGGUCAUUCAAGCACUUUUACUUUUUUGUCAAGUCUUUUACUUCGGGGGUUGAAGCUAAAGUAUGAACAGUUUCCAGGAGUGAUGACCUUUGAAGUCUUUGUCACGCCUUUCACAUGCUUCAUAAACAUAUCAAAGUAAGAUGGAACUGGCUGAACCUUUAGGAAACCGAUAAAAGCACUGAUCGCAGGCUUUGUUCCUGUCCAGUCCGAACACACUUGAUAUCGCUACUCGGUGAUGUACGAGGCCAUUAAAAUGCCAGAUGAGGUGUGUGAGUUCAGGAUUGAAUCUUUUGCAGGAUGGCAGAUCUUGUCUGACCACCGCUUGAGAAGACGGUAGAGUCGAAGUUAAUUACAACCCCCCUCCACCCGCGCCCCUCACAGUGCAAUUACCCGAAGGCAUUUAUAACUGUCAACCUUUAUUUCGGAUGAAACCUAUUGUUAGUAUACCUGCUGUAAUUUGACAGAAUAGCACACAUUAGCAUGGAAUGCUGGGGUUAAGGUUAACGCAUGUACUCUCUUGGGAGAUUAGCUGCAUGGAAAGGCGGCAUAUCGGGAUACAAGGUUGGUAUCCAGGUUCGUGAAAGCUGGCGCAGUUUACACAUGGCUGAAGACGGGACCUGAAGCCAACAUUCCAGUUUCCUUUUCAAGCCCUUCUAACAAAACUUGACUCUUACUAACCCAUUCAGUCUCCUCCCUCCUACAGUCAGCCUUUUUUCUAACGUCAGAUUAAAGCUAUCGACCUCACGAGCUUUGGUUUCUCUCAGGCGAGCUUGUUACAAUCCAUUACUGACGUAUCCCGAACUUCCAAACCUUUACGGUUUUCUGCCAGUCUUCUUCCUGCUAGUCCAGGCCAUCCCUCCACAUUCUGGACACUUUUGCUAGAAAAUUAGCCUCUGUGCUCUUUACACCGAGGCAUUCAGCUCCUUCAUUUUUCCCUUUUCUUAGGCCACCUCCCUCAGCAAGGUUCUCCUGAGACAUAUCCCAGAUUAAACCACAAGGAACAUUAAUCAUUAAUCGACUGACCUGGUAAUAGUCGUCACACGUAAUUAACUGAAAGGUAAAUGAGCUUUGGAUGCAUAUUAAGCACAAAGGUGUUGUUCAUACACAGCACGUACUUUGCUAUCGUGGAAGUGGAACUGUGAACAAACCGAGGAUAAGUGUGCGGUGUGUCUGUAGUGUCACGGUUAGGAUGCAUGAUGGGAUGGGUGGCCUGAAACCAUUACCCAGUUAUCAGGGUCACAGCUUUUACCUCUGACUGUUCCAAAGCACUGACACUGGAGACUCCUUCCAAUACACGUUAAAUAAACCUCCUCACAAAAAAUAUCAACACGUUUUUGAAUUCCUUUAUUAUUAGUCGCACAUCCACCAUACUAGUCCCCGUGAAUGAGCCGUUACUAUAGAAACGAUAAGGUAUUAGAACGAGCGCAUUAAUAUAUUAAAACCUGUGAUUUGCAGCUGCAUUAGUGUCAGAGCUGCUGUCCUAGAAAAUUCAUCAAGACCAAUCAACAGAAUUCAACGUUACACACUGUUUGGGAAUGCGAUAGCUUCUGAAACGUAAAAACCCCAGCAGACAUAACGACUGAUAUUAUACCCAUUCGUCCCAUCCGCACUCGUUUCCUUCCAGCUGCUACUCCAUUUUGCUUCUAUUUCCGUUUCUCAUCAAGCCUCUCUCGGGCUCCUGCGUAAAAACGUGGCUUACGGACAACAAAAACAACAAACGCAACCGUUUCCCCGGGCACACACCUGAGGUAACAGAAUGGAAAUGUCGACCUGAACUAUCUUCAAAACUACUAUCUGGGUGAAAAGCAUUGAAAAUGGUUCAACCCGAGAUAAAAACGUAUUUGAGUCAAGCCAUGGUCGUGCUUUGCUCCGGUGUACUGGUGCGUGUGUGGAGCAACUGGCAACGUGUGCAUCUGUGCUGUUUAACAUUUACGGAAGGAGUCUCCAGCGUCAGCGAUUUGGAACGGUCUGAGGUAAAAGUGUAACAGCGGAGUUGACGGUUUACGUUUUUCCCACGUUUUUUGUUUUGUCAGUUCGAACUUGUUAACGUUAAGAGAGACUUUUGUCUGUAGCUGCUAUAACGUAAGUGACAACAGGAACGAGCUCGCUUCGUGGACGUUCCAUAACGUUAACCGUCGCCGUGAACUGACCAAAAAAAAAAAAAAAGUGUGAUGUUUCUGUGAACCGUGUGUAUGGUGCAGUAGCAAGCCGCUGGAGAAGAGGACUCCGGCGUGUGCGCGCGUGUGUGUGUGUGUGGAACACGACCUUUUCCAAACCUCGUCUGCGAAAGGUUGCUCUGCAGCAGAUCUUUUGUUCACGCCGCACGAAGACUAUUUUCGGGUUUGUAAUUGGGCCCGGAGAAACCCAGCGAUGCUCCCGGUGACAGACCGCCGUCCACAUCGAACACGUGAACAUGAAAAACGGAGAGAGAGAGAGAGAGAGAGAGAGAGAGAGAGAGAGACGCCACCGUUCUGUCAGAUUUACGUUUGAACCCCAUGACUGUGCCGCACGUUGUCGAUUCGCGCAGAUACAGUACGGCUCGGUUUGUCCUGAUGAGUUAGUGUCUAUGAUGAUCCAUAACGUGUUCGUUUAAUCGAUUAGCUCAUGAAUCUGCAGGAGUGUUUCAUAACCGAUCUUACAGGAAGGAAGUGAUUUAUUUCUUUUGGAGACAUCUGGAAUAAUGGAACCAGGCUGAAAUUGAAAACAUGUUUUCUGCAGUUAAUGUGAGUGACAUCAGCGCCGGUUUCGGCCGGUUUCGGUUUCGGCCGAGCCGGACCCCGUUUCCAUCAUCCACAGUCACACACACAGAGAUGACUGACUUACACGUCCUAACUGCGGAGUAUUGCUCCAAAUACACUUAUGGUUAUACUAAGGCUUUGUUUGUCAUGAUUUUGGCUCACUUUGUGCCUUGUUAUAAACUUGGAACGAUAACGCUGUGCCUAGUUUCACACUGUUUGUUGAACGCCUGUUUCCUGUGGGUUCAGUUGAGUGUGGGUUUAGUUUCAUGUGGCUUUUGUUUGUUUCGUG
Long non-coding RNA from Ictalurus punctatus (channel catfish), 6988 nucleotides. The record is from Ensembl. NCBI's taxonomy places the organism in Eukaryota, Metazoa, Chordata, Actinopteri, Siluriformes, Ictaluridae.